CAAUAGCGUAUAUUAAAGUUGUUGCAGUUAAAAAGCUCGUAGUUGGAUUUGUGGCGUACGGUGUGUUCCGGGCACUUGUUGUCUGAGUAACCUGCUGUUGCCAUCCUUGGGUGGAACCUGUGUGGCAUUAGGUUGUCGUGCAGGGGAUGCCCAUCAUUUACUGUGAAAAAAUUAGAGUGUUCAAAGCAGGCUUAUGCCGUUGAAUAUAUUAGCAUGGAAUAAUGAGAUAGGACUUUUUUGCUAUUUUGUUGGUUUGCGCAAAGAGGCAAUGAUUAAUAGGGACAGUUGGGGGUAUUCGUAUUCCAUUGUCAGAGGUGAAAUUCUUGGAUUUUUGGAAGACGAACUACUGCGAAAGCAUUUACCAAGGAUGUUUUCAUUAA
RNAcentral lists this ribosomal RNA (380 nucleotides) under uncultured eukaryote. Its description in RNAcentral is "partial 18S ribosomal RNA". It matches the Rfam family "Eukaryotic small subunit ribosomal RNA", at positions 592 to 976 of the family's 1831-position model. The record is from RNAcentral.